This 484-nucleotide ribosomal RNA is filed under the name uncultured bacterium. RNAcentral's name for it is "partial 16S ribosomal RNA". It matches the Rfam family "Bacterial small subunit ribosomal RNA", at positions 30 to 507 of the family's 1533-position model. The record is from RNAcentral.
AUUGAACGCUGGCGGCAGGCCUAACACAUGCAAGUCGAGCGGAUGAAUGGAUCUUGCCCCUGGAUUCAGCGGCGGACGGGUGAGUAAUGCCUAUGAAUCUGCCUGAUAGUGGGGGAUAACGUCCUGAAACGGGCGCUAAUACCGCAUACGUCCUGUGGGAGAAAGUGGAGGAUCUUCGGACCUCAUGCUAUCAGAUGAGCCUAGUUCGGAUUAGCUAGUUGGUUGGGUAAAGGCCUACCAAGGCGACGAUCCGAAACUGGUCUGAGAGGAUGACCAGACACAUUGGAAGUGAGAAACGGUCGAGACUCCGACGGGAGGAAGCGGUGGGGAAUAUUGGACAAUGGGCGAAAGCCUGAUCCAGCAAUGCCGCGUGUGUGAAGAAGGUCUUCGGAUUGUAAAGCAAUUUAAGUUGGGAGGAAGGGCAGUAAGUUAAUACCUUGCUGUUUUGACGUUACCAACAGAAUAAGCACCGGCUAACUUCGUG